AAAUUCGUCCAGGCCUUGGAGUUGGCCUCCAACCUCAUUGAAGAGAAGUCAGUCCCCUUGAGAAGAGAAAGAUGAUGCAGAUGGAGGGCGUGGCUAACGAAGGAAAGACAAAGGAGAAGGAGAAGACCACGGAUCCACUCAAGCUAAGGCAGAAGCUAGAGAGGAUUGACGCUAAAAUUGAUGCCCUGAAAGCCAAAAAGGAGGCGGUCAUAAGACAACUAUAUGAGCUGGAGCAAAGUGCUACUGAAGGAGCUCCCUCCCAACCAAGAGAAGAAUAUCAAGGAUAUCCAUCUCCAUAGUGGUUAGAUGAAGGAAAUAAAAUGUUUAUCCUACCCAACCGAGGUUGCUGGACUCUGUCGACAUUUUUUUUCUUUUUUUGUUCAACGUACCGGAACUGUUAUAAGAGGUACAAGUCUUUUGUUGUUUUUUUUUUUCGGGUGGAAGCAGUCUUUUGUUGUUCAAAACAAAAGAUGUACAAGCCUUUCCACAGUAGAUGGGCCAAUAUUUGAGUGAUCCAUGAUUGCCAAGGAUAUUACUCUCUACAGCUUUUUU
This is a non-coding RNA of Elaeis guineensis (African oil palm), 552 nucleotides long. The record is from RefSeq and is a predicted model, not a curated record. Lineage: Eukaryota; Viridiplantae; Streptophyta; Magnoliopsida; Arecales; Arecaceae.